Molecule: long non-coding RNA, 685 nt
Filed under: Rattus norvegicus (Norway rat)
Lineage: Eukaryota; Metazoa; Chordata; Mammalia; Rodentia; Muridae
Description: long non-coding RNA NONRATT006388
Source: RNAcentral
CUGAUUUGUGUUUUGCAAGGCCUUCCUCUAAGAAAGAAGACAAAGAAACAAUGUCUUAGCCUUACCAUCAUAGCCACAUUACAGCUACUCUGUAUACCUGCCAAUCUGUUUAGUCUCAUAACACACACACACACACACACACACACACACACAGAGUAGGUGAUAAGUUUAUGUUUCUAAUAGGCAAAUAUAUCAUAGUAAAGCUGAUUACUCAUAUAGUAACAUUGUUAAGUUUAAGUGAGAGGGACAGUUUAUGAGAGUCAAGAAUGUUUUUGAAGAGAAAACUUAAUUCUUAUACCAUAUGUCUAUGAUGAACAAAAAAUCAAACUGUAUGAAUGAUGCAAUGUGGAAAUAUUUCAUUUGUUAUUUUAACAGCUAUAUCCUGUGUCACAAUGGAUACAAGCCAUGUGAGCACAAGGAUAUUGAAAGAAGCAAUGUCUCCCCACCCCCAGAACAAUUAAGAUAUAUGUAGUAGUCCACAUUUGAGCAGACUUUCUCAGUGUGAUACAAGUUUAUAAUUAGUUGGUUUCCCAACUUCAUUGGGAAUAUAUCCAUAAAGUCACAUAGCAGAAAAUCCCUAUGAAUACUAGGAUUGUGGAAAUUCCUUUCUGUUUGUCCUGGUUCACUUUGCUGAUGUGGUAUGCAAACGUAGUGUAUUUCACAAUAAUGGAAAGCAUAUGAAUGU